UACGUAGGGUGCAAGCGUUAAUCGGAAUUACUGGGCGUAAAGCGUGCGCAGGCGGUUAUGUAAGACAGAUGUGAAAUCCCCGGGCUUAACCUGGGAACUGCAUUGGUGACUGCAUCGCUCGAGUAUGGCAGAGGGGGGUAGAAUUCCACGUGUAGCAGUGAAAUGCGUAGAGAUGUGGAGGAAUACCGAUGGCGAAGGCAGCCCCCUGGGUCAAUACUGACGCUCAUGCACGAAAGCGUGGGGAGCAAACAGG
This 253-nucleotide ribosomal RNA is filed under the name uncultured bacterium. RNAcentral describes it as "partial 16S ribosomal RNA". It matches the Rfam family "Bacterial small subunit ribosomal RNA", at positions 524 to 776 of the family's 1533-position model. The record is from RNAcentral.